RNAcentral lists this transfer RNA (68 nucleotides) under Marmota monax (woodchuck). RNAcentral's name for it is "tRNA.Ala". Lineage: Eukaryota; Metazoa; Chordata; Mammalia; Rodentia; Sciuridae. The record is from RNAcentral.
GGGAUGUAGCUCAGGGGUAGAGUGCUUGCCUAGCAUGCUUUAGGUUCUGGGUUCAAUCUCCAGUCUCA